AGCCCGAUAGUCUAGCGGUCAAAUAACAUUUUAGAUCAAGGAUUCCGCCCUCUGGAGGCGGAGACGGCAGUUCGAAUCUGCCUCGGGCUA
This 90-nucleotide transfer RNA is filed under the name Nitrosopumilus sp. H8. Its description in RNAcentral is "tRNA-Gln". It matches the Rfam family "tRNA". From Rfam's summary of the family: Transfer RNA (tRNA) molecules are approximately 80 nucleotides in length. Lineage: Archaea; Thermoproteati; Nitrososphaerota; Nitrososphaeria; Nitrosopumilales; Nitrosopumilaceae. The record is from RNAcentral.